RNAcentral lists this ribosomal RNA (507 nucleotides) under uncultured Candida. Its description in RNAcentral is "eukaryotic LSU rRNA". It matches the Rfam family "Eukaryotic large subunit ribosomal RNA", at positions 62 to 665 of the family's 3401-position model. Lineage: Eukaryota; Fungi; Ascomycota; Saccharomycetes; Saccharomycetales. The record is from RNAcentral.
AAACCAACAGGGAUUGCCUCAGUAACGGCGAGUGAAGCGGCAAAAGCUCAAAUUUGAAAUCCCCCCGGGGAAUUGUAAUUUGAAGAUUGUGUUUUGGAAACGACCGUGUCUAUGUUCCUUGGAACAGGACGUCACAGAGGGUGAGAAUCCCGUGCGGCACGGCCACCGUUUCCUUAUAAAACACUCUCGACGAGUCGAGUUGUUUGGGAAUGCAGCUCAAAGUGGGUGGUAAAUUCCAUCUAAAGCUAAAUACAGGCGAGAGACCGAUAGCGAACAGUACAGUGAUGGAAAGAUGAAAAGCACUUUGAAAAGAGAGUGAAACAGUACGUGAAAUUGUUGAAAGGAAGGCAUGCCGUCAGAUUGUCAGUGUGGGUAAGAAGCGGGGUACAAAGACUGUGGAACGUGGCCCUCGGGUGUUAUAGCCACAGUUCAUCCCCCGUCUCUUUCCGAGGCCUGCUUUGAGGACACCGACGUAAUGACGGUACGCCGCCCGUCUUGAAACACGGA